CUCUCCGAUUCGGAAAUCGUCUCCAAGAUCCUCGCUGGUUUGGACAUGGAGUACAAUCCAGUCGUUUCCGCACUUGCUGCUCGUGUGGAACCCAUCACCGUCCAGGAGUUGUACAGCCAGCUACUCAGCUUCGAC
Non-coding RNA from Triticum urartu, 135 nucleotides. The record is from Rfam. NCBI's taxonomy places the organism in Eukaryota, Viridiplantae, Streptophyta, Magnoliopsida, Poales, Poaceae.